This 498-nucleotide ribosomal RNA is filed under the name uncultured bacterium. RNAcentral's name for it is "partial 16S ribosomal RNA". It matches the Rfam family "Bacterial small subunit ribosomal RNA", at positions 30 to 523 of the family's 1533-position model. The record is from RNAcentral.
AUUGAACGCUGGCGGCAUGCUUUACACAUGCAAGUCGAACGGUAACAGGCCGCAAGGUGCUGACGAGUGGCGAACGGGUGAGUAAUGUAUCGGAACGUGCCCAGUCGUGGGGGAUAACGCAGCGAAAGCUGCGCUAAUACCGCAUACGAUCUAUGGAUGAAAGCGGGGGACCGUAAGGCCUCGCGCGAUUGGAGCGGCCGAUAUCAGAUUAGGUAGUUGGUGGGGUAAAGGCUCACCAAGCCAACGAUCUGUAGCUGGUCUGAGAGGACGACCAGCCACACUGGGACUGAGACACGGCCCAGACUCCUACGGGAGGCAGCAGUGGGGAAUUUUGGACAAUGGGCGCAAGCCUGAUCCAGCAAUGCCGCGUGCAGGAAGAAGGCCUUCGGGUUGUAAACUGCUUUUGUACGGAACGAAACGGUCUGGGUUAAUACCUCGGGCUGAUGACGGUACCGUAAGAAUAAGCACCGGCUAACUACGUGCCAGCCGCCGCAGUAA